Long non-coding RNA from Oncorhynchus keta (chum salmon), 1905 nucleotides. RefSeq lists it as uncharacterized. The transcript is spliced from 3 exons. Lineage: Eukaryota; Metazoa; Chordata; Actinopteri; Salmoniformes; Salmonidae. The record is from RefSeq and is a predicted model, not a curated record.
CAUCCUCAUGUCGACAUCCAAACCCCCCACUGGUGUGCCUGGCCAAAGAGCUCUAUUUCCACGUCAUCCAACAAAUGUAAACGCCUGGAUAUUUUACCUUCCGCUGGUCCUGGGGCUCUUGGUAAGGUCAACGGCAUCGUGAACUCUACCCAGUUCCAGGACAUUUGAACCAAAAACCUGAUUACCCAUGCCAUGAGGCUGAAACUUGGCCACAAGUAGAUUUUCCAAGAAAGACAAUCAACCCGAGCACACAUCAAACAAAGUCUCCGGGCUUAAACCCCCAUUUGAAACACUGCGGUUUGAAUUGAAAAGGGCCAUAAGAACAGAUGAAGGAUAUCAACGAUCUGGAAAGAUUCUGUACGGAGGAACAUUCUAAGAUUCACUCCCGAUGUGUUCUAGAAUCUAAGAAAACAUUCUAGAAUAAAAGCUCAGUGCCAUUAACCCCAGUAUUUGUAUCAAUUAUUAUGAUAGUAUGUGUUCUAGAAUCUCAUAUUUUUGUUCUUGUAGGUUGAAAAGACUAUGUCAUUAACCUCACAAGGUGAGGUAUUGAAAGGUAUUGAAAGUGUCAUUAUCCUCACAAGGUGAGGUAUUGAAAGGUAUUGCCAGUGUCAUUAUCCUCACAAGGUGAGGAAUUGAAAGGUAUUGACAGUGUCAUUAUCCUCACAAGGUGAGGUAUUGAAAGGUAUUGACAGUGUCAUUAUCCUCACAAGGUGAGGUAUUGAAAGGUAUUGACAGUGUCAUUAUCCUCACAAGGUGAGGUAUUGAAAGGUAUUGACAGUGUCAUUAUCCUCACAAGGUGAGGUAUUGAAAGGUAUUGACAGUGUCAUUAUCCUCACAAGGUGAGGUAUUGAAAGGUAUUGACAGUGUCAUUAUCCUCACAAGGUGAGGUAUUGAAAGGUAUUGACAGUGUCAUUAUCCUCACAAGGUGAGGUAUUGAAAGGUAUUGACAGUGUCAUUAUCCUCACAAGGUGAGGUAUUGAAAGGUAUUGACAGUGUCAUUAUCCUCACAAGGUGAGGUAUUGAAAGGUAUUGACAGUGUCAUUAUCCUCACAAGGUGAGGUAUUGAAAGGUAUUGACAGUGUCAUUAUCCUCACAAGGUGAGGUAUUGAAAGGUAUUGACAGUGUCAUUAUCCUCACAAGGUGAGGUAUUGAAAGGUAUUGACAGUGUCAUUAUCCUCACAAGGUGAGGUAUUGAAAGGUAUUGACAGUGUCAUUAUCCUCACAAGGUGAGGUAUUGAAAGGUAUUGACAGUGUCAUUAUCCUCACAAGGUGAGGUAUUGAAAGGUAUUGACAGUGUCAUUAUCCUCACAAGGUGAGGUAUUGAAAGGUAUUGACAGUGUCAUUAUCCUCACAAGGUGAGGUAUUGAAAGGUAUUGACAGUGUCAUUAUCCUCACAAGGUGAGGUAUUGAAAGGUAUUGACAGUGUCAUUAUCCUCACAAGGUGAGGUAUUGAAAGGUAUUGACAGUGUCAUUAUCCCCACAAGGUGAGGUAUUGAAAGGUAUUGACAGUGUCAUUAUCCUCACAAGGUGAGGUAUUGAAAGGUAUUGACAGUGUCAUUAUCCCCACAAGGUGAGGUAUUGAAAGGUAUUGACAGUGUCAUUAUCCCCACAAGGUGAGGUAUUGAAAGGUAUUGACAGUGUCAUUAUCCUCACAAGGUGAGGUAUUGAAAGGUAUUGACAGUGUCAUUAUCCCCACAAGCUGAGGUAUUGAAAGGUAUUGAAAGAUAUUGAAAGGUAUUGACAACAGUCAUUUUUGAAACCUAUCUUUUUGAGAGAAAGAAAUAUAUUAGUAUAAAAUAAUAUAAUUUCCCAUUUUGUUUUGACAAUAUAGCUCAGUAUUUGAAUUCAGCCAGACUUAAUAACCAUAAAUGUAUAGAUACUCCAUCAUGUCUAGGCCAGACUUAA